CGGCGGCGGGGGCCGCGUCCGGUCACGUGCGGGAGAGCCCCGGCCGGGGAACGGCGGCGCGCCGCGGGAGCCUAUUUAGGGCUUGACAUGCCUCAGUGACCUAGGAGGAGGUUAACACAGCUUGGUGAGAAGGGUGUGCUACUGAUAGUGCACACAAAGAAUGCAGACUUUGUGGGCCACAAAUACAUUUGGCAAAAUUCCCAGGAUAAGGAAGAAACUAACAAAGCCUUCCCAUCAACUCUGCUGAAAUCAGCUCCAACUGGAUAAAAGGCAAUUCUCGAAGGAAGAGCGCCACGAUCACUGACUCAGGGCCCAAGAAACCCACUGGCUCAAGAGAAGAGGAAGACUGUGCAGGCUAAUCAGCAUGAGAAGUGAGCGAAUCAUUGACCAACAGAAGUCUAGUUAAUGACAGAACUAGGAUUCUGUGUUUUCCCUGACUCGGCUGCAACGCGGAGCGGUGCCGCCCCGGCAGGGCGCACCCCCGGCCCCGCUGUCCCACCUCGGCCCCGCUGUCCCCUUCCUGUCCCCCUCCCCCCCCCCCCCGUUCCAGCCCCGCUGUACCAUUCCUGUCCCGCUGUCCCUUUCUGGCCCCGCUCUCCCGUUCCCGCUGUCCCUCUCCCGCUGUCCCUCUGUCUCGUUCCCUCUGUCCCGCUGUCCCGUUCCCGCUGUCCCGUUCCCGCUGUCCUGCCCCCGCUGUCCCGUUCCCGUUCCCGCUGUCCCACUGUUCCCUCUGUCCCGCUGUCCCGUUCCCGCUGUCCCGUUCCCUCUGUCCCGCUGUCCCGCUCCCUCUGUCCCAUUCCCGCUGUCCCGUUCCCGCUGUCCCGCUGUCCCAUUCCCGCUGUCCCGUUGCCGCUGUCCCGCUGUCCCGUUCCCGCUGUCCCGUUCCGCUGUCCCGCUCCCGCUGUCCCGUUCCCGCUGUCCCGCUGUCCCGCUGUCCCUCUGUCCCAUUCCCGCUGUCCCGCUGUCCCUCUGUCCCAUUCCCGCUGUCCCGCUGUCCCGUUCCCGCUCCAGCCCGUGACGCCACCGCGGCGCGCGGCUGCUCUGGAAAGGCGUUUCCCCCGCGCGGCAUUGUGGGAGUCCGGGAAGGGCCGCCGGGGAAGAUGGCGGCGCAGGGAGCAGCCCGGGCGGGCGGCGGCGGCGGCGAGGAGGAGCGGGGGUCUGGGCGCUCGGAGUCGGAGCUGUUGCUGCUGCACCCGGAGCUGCUCUCGGAGGAGUUCCUGCGGCUCACCCUGGAGCAGGUGCGUCCGGGGAGCCGGGCCGGGCGGAGCGGCGGCCCCCGAGGCGGGGCGAAGAGAGUCACGGCGCUCAGGGAAGAGCAGCACCAAAUCGGUGCUCUGGACACCACGAACUUGCAGGCAGAUAUAUGGGAUAUGUCUCCGUGUUUGCAAAGGGGCUGUGUUGCACACCGAGGCUGCUAAAAAGCAAUUUGCCCAAAUCGAGACAGUGUCUGCGUACAGUAAAACUGGCUGUGGAAGGAUGAGCUUUACACUGUUAAAGUUGCCACGUCCAUACCCAGUGUGUCCUGCUCUAGUGACCCUGCCUGGGCAGGUCGGUUGGACUAGAUCAUCUCUGGAGGUCCCUUUCAAUCCUCAUUUAACUCACUCAUUUCAACCCUCUUUAACUCACAGAAUUAAAGAAAAGCAGCCUAUGUAA
Chloebia gouldiae (Gouldian finch) is the source of this 1653-nucleotide long non-coding RNA. The record is from Ensembl. Lineage: Eukaryota; Metazoa; Chordata; Aves; Passeriformes; Passeridae.